RNAcentral lists this ribosomal RNA (792 nucleotides) under uncultured bacterium. RNAcentral's name for it is "bacterial SSU rRNA". It matches the Rfam family "Bacterial small subunit ribosomal RNA", at positions 8 to 796 of the family's 1533-position model. The record is from RNAcentral.
AGAGUUUGAUCCUGGCUCAGAGCGAACGCUGGCGGCGUGCUUAACACAUGCAAGUCGAACGCGCAGUUCCCUGUAGCAAUACAGGGGAUGGGCGCGUGGCGAACGGGUGCGUAACACGUGGAUAACCUUCCUUCAGGUGGGGAAUAACCCCGCGAAAGCGGGGCUAAUACCGCAUAACAUGACGAUGGCACAUGCCGUUGUCCUCAAAGCCGCAAGGCGCCAGAAGAGGGAUCCGCGGCCGAUUAGCUUGUUGGCGAGGUAAUGGCUCACCAAGGCAAUGAUCGGUAGCCGGUCUGAGAGGACGAUCGGCCACACUGGAACUGAGACACGGUCCAGACUCCUACGGGAGGCAGCAGUGGGGAAUCUUGCGCAAUGGACGAAAGUCUGACGCAGCAACGCCGCGUGGGGGAUGAAGCUUCUCGGAGUGUAAACCCCUUUCGACCCGGACGAAUGCCCGCAAGGGUUUGACGGUACGGGUAUAAGAAGCCCCGGCUAACUACGUGCCAGCAGCCGCGGUAAAACGUAGGGGGCCAGCGUUGCUCGGAAUUACUGGGCGUAAAGGGUCCGUAGGCGGUGUGGCAAGUCGGAAGUGAAAUCUCUGGGCUUAACUCAGAGGCUGCUUCCGAAACUGCUGUGCUAGAGUGCGAGAGAGGCGAGUGGAAUUGCGGGUGUAGCGGUGAAAUGCGUAGAUAUCCGCAGGAACAUCCGAGGCGAAAGCGGCUCGCUGGAUCGCAACUGACGCUGAGGGACGAAAGCUAGGGGAGCAAACAGGAUUAGAUACCCCCGUAGUCC